This 617-nucleotide ribosomal RNA is filed under the name Hepatozoon canis. RNAcentral describes it as "bacterial SSU rRNA". It matches the Rfam family "Eukaryotic small subunit ribosomal RNA", at positions 213 to 818 of the family's 1831-position model. The record is from RNAcentral. Lineage: Eukaryota; Apicomplexa; Hepatozoidae.
GAUAAAAAGCCAGUUCAUGCUUUUACAGUAUGAAAAUUGGUGAUUUAUAAUAACUUAGCAAAUCGCAAAGUGAAAACAGGCGAUAAAUCAUUCAAGUUUCUGACCUAUCAGCUUUCGACGGUAUGGUAUUGGCUUACCGUGGCAGUGACGGUUAACGGGGGAUUAGGGUUCGAUUCCGGAGAGGGAGCCUGAGAAACGGCUACCACAUCUAAGGAAGGCAGCAGGCGCGCAAAUUACCCAAUUCUAACAGUUUGAGAGAGGUAGUAACAAGAAAUAACAAUACAAGGCAGUUAAAAUGCUUUGUAAUUGGAAUGAUAGAAAUUUAAACCCUUUUUAAAGUAUCAAUUGGAGGGCAAGUCUGGUGCCAGCAGCCGCGGUAAUUCCAGCUCCAAUAGCGUAUAUUAAAAUUGUUGCAGUUAAAAAGCUCGUAGUUGAAGUUCUGCUGAAAGUAACCGGUCUGCUUUUAAUAAAAGUGGUAUCUUGGUAUGUAUUUAGCAAUGAUGUCCUUUGAAGUGUUUUUUACUUUAUUGUAAUAAAGCAUAUUCAGGACUUUUACUUUGAGAAAAUUAGAGUGUUUCUAGCAGGCUGACGCUUUGAAUACUGCAGCAUGGGAAUAA